AUUGUGGGUUUUGUAAGUUUAAUAAUUUUGAUCGUGGAUUUUGUUAUUCAACGAUUUUGAUUGUGGUAAAACGAGUUGCAAGUGUCAGAACUUCCCUAUGUAGUUUGUUUACUGUGGAUUUUGUAAGUUCAAUUAUUUUAGUCGUGGGUUUUGAGAGAUGGGUGUCCGAGUUGUCAUUCUAAUUAAUUUCUAGAAAAGGGUGAGAAUCAUUAAGAAGAUCUGCAGAGUAAAAAGGGAGGACCAAGUUCAGUUUCAGGGGGCUUUAACAAGGAGUAAAAAAAUGGGUUCAAAUUUAAGAAGGAAGAGCAGCAAAACUCAAUUUGCUUAUAUAACUUACAUGCAUUGGAUCUGCAUUGGGAGUUAAGAUGAAUUCUGGAAAUAGUUUAAAACCCUGUCUAUUUUAUGAACUGGGCUAUUCUGCAUCCAUAUUAACACCACCAUGAUGCCUUGCUACACGCUCUACGAAUCCUAAUCCUGAUCUGGGAUGUACUUUAAAGGUCAAUUAUCUCUUGCUCUCUCCCACUGUGUCGGCGUAGUAUCCUUUAUGGACAGACUGUAAAUUUUUGUUGCAUAAAGGUAAUGAGUUUGAUAAGAUGAUCCCACUCUUUGAAAAGCAACUAGAUUUGUGAAUGAAAUAUUUUCCUUAAUUGGAUGUAAUCAGGUCGAAGAGCCGGAAUCCUUAGCUUAGCUGGCAUAUACAUCUUACUUUUAGGAUGCAAAACUGUAGAAGUUAUUUACCAAUUCCGGAUAACACACUUUGUAGAAUUGUCCCUUAAAAUGACCAUCCAUUCCUAUCGUUCCUAGGUGUACAAAUGGCCAAAACAAGUCUGAAGUAGGGUCUAAAGAUGAAUAAUGUUCACAACUAUAAGCUCAAUCCACUUUAUAUUACUUCAUAUUAAUCCCACUUAAAUUGGAAAUAGUAUCUGCUGUCUUAGCUCAAAUGGAAGAACACGUGGAAAAAAUAGUGAUUCCAUUGUUUGAUGCUCACAGAAUGGGACUCCAGUGGAACAGAUGGAGUAGGACCAGGAUCUCGAGAAGCUUUUAAGAAAUCUUCUUGCUUACGAGAUUACUUUAAUCGUAUUGGGUGCCAGAGUCUAUCAUAGUUUGCAGAAGGCAUCUCCCUCAUUCUCUUUUGAUAGGUAAAGCCUCAGGUGAUUGUGACAAACGGCAAAGAUUGUAUUACUAGAUAGCUGAAUAUCCCAAAUUCACUCAUGAGAAAUUUGACAAUGAAAAAGUGGAUAGAAUGGUGCAGUUAUCCUAGGUGGAUGUAAUACUGCACAUGCUGCAACUCAGUGAGUUAUAUUUGAAACACAAGACAUUAGUUUCUUUUGGAUAAAUGGUUCUCGCAGUACAGAUGCUCUUGUCUAGAAUGAUUCACCGUACAUUAGUUGCAAGCGCAUAGACAUGAAAGGUGGAAAAAGGAGAAGACAAGGCAGGUUAUUAUAUAAUUUACCAUCUUUCAUUAUAGAAAAAAAAAUUAAGUUCACUGUGAUGUUGGAUUCCCCUAAUGAUUUACUGUACGAUAGCUGCAACACGUAAACAUCAGUAGCUGCAUCUUAAUCUUUUGAAUGCUACUGCAUGUUAAGAGAACGUAUUAAAUUAUUGAAUUUUUAUGCAGACUGGUGAGCUUACUAAAGUUCUAUCAUGAGCAUCAACUUUUAACUGUUUUGUUCAGGGCUUUCAGGCCAAC
Molecule: long non-coding RNA, 1690 nt
Organism: Papaver somniferum (opium poppy)
Lineage: Eukaryota; Viridiplantae; Streptophyta; Magnoliopsida; Ranunculales; Papaveraceae
Exons: 3
Source: RefSeq, a predicted model, not a curated record